RNAcentral lists this ribosomal RNA (433 nucleotides) under uncultured bacterium. RNAcentral describes it as "partial 16S ribosomal RNA". It matches the Rfam family "Bacterial small subunit ribosomal RNA", at positions 29 to 507 of the family's 1533-position model. The record is from RNAcentral.
AACGAACGCUGGCGGCAUGCCUAACACAUGCAAGUCGAACGAGACCUUCGGGUCUAGUGGCGCACGGGUGCGUAACGCGUGGGAACCUGCCCUUAGGUUCGGAAUAACUCCCCGAAAGGGGUGCUAAUUCCGGAUAAUGUCUUCGGACCAAAGAUUUAUCGCCUUUGGAUGGGCCCGCGUUGGAUUAGCUAGUUGGUAGGGUAAAAGCCUACCAAGGCGACGAUCCAUAGCUGGUCUGAGAGGAUGAUCAGCCACACUGGGACUGAGACACGGCCCAGAAUCCUACGGGAGGGAGCAGAGGAGAAUACUGGACAAUGGGCGAAAGCCUGAUCCAGCAAUGCCGCGUGAGUGAUGAAGGCCUUAGGGUUGUAAAGCUCUUUUACCCGGGAUGAUAAUGACAGUACCGGGAGAAUAAGCUCCGGCUAACUCCGUG